This 396-nucleotide ribosomal RNA is filed under the name uncultured bacterium. Its description in RNAcentral is "partial 16S ribosomal RNA". It matches the Rfam family "Bacterial small subunit ribosomal RNA", at positions 338 to 731 of the family's 1533-position model. The record is from RNAcentral.
CCUACGGGUGGCAGCAGUGAGGAAUAUUGGGCAAUGGGCGAGAGCCUGAAGCAGCCAAGUAGCGUGAAGGAUGACUGCCCUACGGGUUGUAAACUUCUUUUAUAAAGGAAUAAAGUGAGGCACGUGAGCCGUUGUGUAUGUACUUUAUGAAUAAGGAUCGGCUAACUACGUGCCAGCAGCCGCGGUAAUACGGAGGAUCCGGGCGUUAUCCGGAUUUAUUGGGUUUAAAGGGAGCGUAGAUGGGUUGUUAAGUCAGUUGUGAAAGGUUGCGGCUGAACCGUAAAAUUGCAAUUGAUACUGGCAGUCUUGAGUACAUGUGAGGUAGGCGGAAUUCGUGGUGUAGCGGUGAAAUGCGUAGAUAUCACGAAGAACUCCGAUUGCGAAGGCAGCUUACUA